Molecule: microRNA precursor, 110 nt
Filed under: Podarcis lilfordi (Lilford's wall lizard)
Lineage: Eukaryota; Metazoa; Chordata; Lepidosauria; Squamata; Lacertidae
Source: RNAcentral
UAGAGGUAGGAAAAGGGUAGAGGGGUCUCAGAGGUAGGAAAGGGGUAGAGCUCUGUGGCCCCUCUGCCCCUUUUCUACUUCUGAGGCCCCUCUACCCUUUUCAUAGUUCU